GACGAACGCUGGCGGCGUGCUUAAUACAUGCAAGUCGAACGGAAAGGCCCUGCUUUUGUGGGGUGCUCGAGUGGCGAACGGGUGAGUAACACGUGAGUAACCUGCCCUUGACUUUGGGAUAACUUCAGGAAACUGGGGCUAAUACCGGAUAGGAGCUCCUGCUGCAUGGUGGGGGUUGGAAAGUUUCGGCGGUUGGGGAUGGACUCGAGGCUUAUCAGCUUGUUGGUGGGGUAGUGGCUUACCAAGGCUUUGAGGGGUAGCCGGCCUGAGAGGGUGACCGGCCACAUUGGGACUGAGAUACGGCCCAGACUCCUACUGGAGGCAGCGGUGGGGAAUAUUGCCCAAUGGACGGAAGCCUGAUGCAGCAACGCCGCGUGCGGGAUGACGGCCUUCGGGUUGUAACCCGCUUUCGCCUGUGGCGAAGCGUGAGUGACGGUAAUGGGUAAAGAAGCACCGGCUAACUACGUG
Molecule: ribosomal RNA, 468 nt
Filed under: uncultured bacterium
Lineage: Bacteria
Description: partial 16S ribosomal RNA
Rfam family: Bacterial small subunit ribosomal RNA
Source: RNAcentral